ACAACGGAUCUCUUGGUUCUCGCAUCGAUGAAGAACGCCAGCGAAA
RNAcentral lists this ribosomal RNA (46 nucleotides) under Candida albicans. RNAcentral describes it as "partial 5.8S ribosomal RNA". Lineage: Eukaryota; Fungi; Ascomycota; Pichiomycetes; Serinales; Debaryomycetaceae. The record is from RNAcentral.